AGUGAACGCUGGCGGUAGGCCUAACACAUGCAAGUCGAACGGCAGCACAGUAAGAGCUUGCUCUUACGGGUGGCGAGUGGCGGACGGGUGAGGAAUACAUCGGAAUCUACUUUUUCGUGGGGGAUAACGUAGGGAAACUUACGCUAAUACCGCAUACGACCUACGGGUGAAAGCAGGGGAUCUUCGGACCUUGCGCGAUUGAAUGAGCCGAUGUCGGAUUAGCUAGUUGGCGGGGUAAAGGCCCACCAAGGCGACGAUCCGUAGCUGGUCUGAGAGGAUGAUAGGCCACAAUGGAAGUGAGACAAGGUCCAGACUCCGAAGGGAGGCAGGAGUAGGGAAUGUUACGCAAUGGGCGAAAGACUGACGGAGCAAGGCCGCGUGAGUGAUGAAGGUAUUCGGAUCGGAAAACUCUGUUACUAGGGAAGAACAAAUGUGUAAGGAAAUAUGCACGUAUUGACGGUACCUAAUCAGAAAGCCACGGCUAACUACGUG
Molecule: ribosomal RNA, 492 nt
Filed under: uncultured bacterium
Lineage: Bacteria
Description: partial 16S ribosomal RNA
Rfam family: Bacterial small subunit ribosomal RNA
Source: RNAcentral